CUUGCUUGGUGGAUCAGUGGCGAACGGGUGAGUAACACGUGAGCAACCUGCCCUGGACUCUGGGAUAAGCGCUGGAAACGGCGUCUAAUACUGGAUAUGAGACGUGAUCGCAUGGUCGUGUUUGGAAAGAUUUUUCGGUCUGGGAUGGGCUCGCGGCCUAUCAGCUUGUUGGUGAGGUAAUGGCUCACCAAGGCGUCGACGGGUAGCCGGCCUGAGAGGGUGACCGGCCACACUGGGACUGAGACACGGCCCAGACUCCUACGGGAGGCAGCAGUGGGGAAUAUUGCACAAUGGGCGGAAGCCUGAUGCAGCAACGCCGCGUGAGGGAUGACGGCCUUCGGGUUGUAAACCUCUUUUAGCAGGGAAGAAGCGAAAGUGACGGUACCUGCAGAAAAAGCGCCGGCUAACUACGUGCCAGCAGCCGCGGUAAUACGUAGGGCGCAAGCGUUAUCCGGAAUUAUUGGGCGUAAAGAGCUCGUAGGCGGUUUGUCGCGUCUGCUGUGAAAUCCCGAGGCUCAACCUCGGGCCUGCAGUGGGUACGGGCAGACUAGAGUGCGGUAGGGGAGAUUGGAAUUCCUGGUGUAGCGGUGGAAUGCGCAGAUAUCAGGAGGAACACCGAUGGCGAAGGCAGAUCUCUGGGCCGUAACUGACGCUGAGGAGCGAAAGGGUGGGGAGCAAACAGGCUUAGAUACCCUGGUAGUCCACCCCGUAAACGUUGGGAACUAGUUGUGGGGACCAUUCCACGGUUUCCGUGACGCAGCUAACGCAUUAAGUUCCCCGCCUGGGGAGUACGGCCGCAAGGCUAAAAACUCAAAGGAAUUGACGGGGACCCGC
RNAcentral lists this ribosomal RNA (834 nucleotides) under Microbacterium testaceum. RNAcentral's name for it is "bacterial SSU rRNA". It matches the Rfam family "Bacterial small subunit ribosomal RNA", at positions 79 to 924 of the family's 1533-position model. The record is from RNAcentral. Lineage: Bacteria; Bacillati; Actinomycetota; Actinomycetes; Micrococcales; Microbacteriaceae.